Molecule: ribosomal RNA, 154 nt
Organism: Protopterus annectens (West African lungfish)
Lineage: Eukaryota; Metazoa; Chordata; Ceratodontiformes; Protopteridae
Product: 5.8S ribosomal RNA
Exons: 1
Source: RefSeq, a predicted model, not a curated record
AACUCUGAUCAGUGGGUCACUUGGCUCGUGCGUUGAUGAAGAAUGCAGCCAGUUGCAAGAAAUAAUGUGAGUUGCAGGACAGAUUGAUCACUGACACUUCGAACGCACUUUGCGGCCCAGGGUUAUUCCCAGGGCUACGCCUGUCUGAUGGUUG